This is a long non-coding RNA of Mobula hypostoma (lesser devil ray), 776 nucleotides long. RefSeq lists it as uncharacterized. The transcript is spliced from 3 exons. NCBI's taxonomy places the organism in Eukaryota, Metazoa, Chordata, Chondrichthyes, Myliobatiformes, Myliobatidae. The record is from RefSeq and is a predicted model, not a curated record.
GCCAGCUGUGGAAACCAGCCUCAUGCAGGUCGAUGGUACUGGUAUCACUGGUUUUCGGGAACUCGCGAGGCACCCUGCCCAGUCGCGCGCGCAGAUAAUAUUGCGGCCGAUCAUGAACACGUAAGCUGUCGCAAUACUUGCGGGGAAUCAUGACUCCCAAAUCGUGCACAGGAUUAUCUCACAUAGCGAGUGAUUGUCAGCAGACGUCGUGUUUCAUAUAUUUCAGGUUCUUACUAACUCUUAGGGUUCUAAACCAUUUAAUCUCCAACGUGGAACCAGAUAAGGAUGUCCUUUGAGUCCUUUGCUUUUUGAUUUGGCUUUAGAGCCUUCAGACAUCGCGUUUCGUGAAUCCGUUGACAUCUCAGCCAGAAGAGCUUUGUUGCUUAGAUGGAAAGAUGCCACUCCACCUGCUCAUGCCCAUUGGUUGAUGUUAUGUCGCGUUUAAAUCUAGAGAAGAUUAGGUGCUCUAUUUCUAUACCUGGACAAGAUUUUUUCACAUUAUGGGGACCUUCUUUGGAACUACUUUCAGAACUUUCGAUUUGUUCAGCAAUGAUGAUGACUAUUAUGUGUUUGAAUUUACAACUAUAUGUCAGAGAUUUUUUUUCUUUUCUUUUAACCAAACAGCUGUUUUUUUCUCCUUUUUUCUGUUUUGUUAUGGGGUUUUGAUUUUGCUUUAGAUUAGAAUAAAAUAUACCUUUUCAAUAUUAUGAUUAAUUUACUAUACAUAGUUACGGGGCAUUUCAAUCUUGUUUCUGUUUCCAUAAUAUCAUAAUGUA